This 72-nucleotide transfer RNA is filed under the name Anoplophora glabripennis (Asian longhorned beetle). RNAcentral's name for it is "tRNA-Glu". It matches the Rfam family "tRNA". From Rfam's summary of the family: Transfer RNA (tRNA) molecules are approximately 80 nucleotides in length. Lineage: Eukaryota; Metazoa; Arthropoda; Insecta; Coleoptera; Cerambycidae. RNAcentral also lists the same sequence under 1 other name. The record is from RNAcentral.
UCCGAUAUGGUCUAGUGGCUAGGAUACUUGGCUUUCACCCAAGAGGCUCGGGUUCGAUUCCCGGUAUCGGAA